GGCCGCAUCCGUGUUCAUCCUCAACCUUUACAUAUGUUAUGUAUCAUCAUAAAAUACAACUUACAUUUCAAUAUUAAGGAUGAACACGAAUGCGGCCACUUUCGUUUUACACGAAAACCGUCUAAAAUUUAACUAAAAUGCUAGAAUUAUGAGGAUUUCAGUAAUUUAGCAUGACUUAAUGGUGCUAGUUACCGAUAUAUGUGCAUUGCAUUGUCAAAAACAGCCCAUAUUUAUGUAGUAGAAGCAUUCUACUGUCCAAUAAAUAACUAAAGGUUUACAUUUUAACAAUUUUGUAAAACUGCUAUAUUUUGG
This 312-nucleotide long non-coding RNA is filed under the name Mytilus galloprovincialis (Mediterranean mussel). Lineage: Eukaryota; Metazoa; Mollusca; Bivalvia; Mytilida; Mytilidae. The record is from RNAcentral.